Molecule: ribosomal RNA, 406 nt
Filed under: uncultured bacterium
Lineage: Bacteria
Description: partial 16S ribosomal RNA
Rfam family: Bacterial small subunit ribosomal RNA
Source: RNAcentral
AUCGAACGCUGGCGGCAGGCCUAACACAUGCAAGUCGAACGAGCGGCGGACGGGUGAGUAAUGUCGGGGAAACUGCCUGAUGGAGGGGGAUACCUACUGGAAACGGUAGCUAAUACCGCAUACCAUCAGAUGUGCCCAGAUGGGAUUAGCUGGUGGGGGGGGUAAAGGCUCACAAAGGCGACGAUCCCUAGCUGGUCUGUGAGGGUGACCAGCCAAACUGGAACGGGUACACGGUCCAGACUCCUACGGGAGGCAGCAGUGGGGAACAUUGCACAAUGGGCGAAAGCCUGAUGCAGCCAUGCCGCGUGUGUGAAGAAGGCCUUCGGGUUGUAAAGCACUUUCAGCGAGGAGGCGUUACCCGCAGAAGAAGCACCGGCUAACUCCGUGCCAGCAGCCGCGGUAAUAC